RNAcentral lists this ribosomal RNA (271 nucleotides) under uncultured bacterium. RNAcentral's name for it is "partial 16S ribosomal RNA". It matches the Rfam family "Bacterial small subunit ribosomal RNA", at positions 524 to 794 of the family's 1533-position model. The record is from RNAcentral.
UACGGAGGGUGCAAGCGUUAAUCGGAAUUACUGGGCGUAAAGCGCACGUAGGUGGCUGAAUAAGUCGGAUGUGAAAGCCCUGGGCUUAACCUGGGAAUUGCAUUCGAUACUGUUCGGCUAGAGUACGGUAGAGGGAGGUAGAAUUCCUAGUGUAGCGGUGAAAUGCGUAGAUAUUAGGAGGAAUACCGGUGGCGAAGGCGGCCUCCUGGACUGAUACUGACACUGAGGUGCGAAAGCGUGGGGAGCAAACAGGAUUAGAAACCCCCGUAGU